AAAGUCAAGGCUUUGAGCUGUCAAGUGACACACCUCAGUUACACAGUCAAACUGAGAGCAAGUUCGAACUCAGGUCUUUCAACGAAAGCCCUUUACUACCCAGCACUGCUGCCACUUGGUUUCUGCAAGUUACCUAACUAUCUACACACACCAUCAUUUUCCUUAGCUUAGACUAUACUCUACUUUGCAUGCUGACGGUCACAGUCUUUUCCUAAGCUCUGGACUUUUGCUUUCAUUCUUGAGCCUAUCCAAACCUUCCCUGUAAUAUCUAUACACAUUGUUUUACCUCUAUAGCUAGAAUAUGUUAUAUUUCAUCCUAUCAAGACAUCUUUUGUUCCCCUGCAACCCUGCAAUUCCACACCUACGUAUAUACUCAACAGGAACUUGUGCAUGUUUUCACCAAAAGGCAUGCACUGAAAUUGUCACAGCAUACUAUUCAUAAUAACUCCAAACUGGAAACUAUCCACAUGCCCAUCCAAGCAGAACAGAUCAACUGUUUUGUAUUCAUAUGUCAUAUUAUAUAACAGCAAAAAUAAAUGGUCUAAACUUAACAACACAGAUGAAUCUCACAAAUGUGAUGUUGGAGGAAAUAAGUCAAGAACAUUCUAUUUGAUUCCACUUAGAAAAAGUUCAAAAACUGGCAAAACUAAUUUACAGUAUUAAAAGUCAGGAAUGGCAGCUACUCUUGGAAGAGUAGUGAUUGGAAGGGGAUGGUGGGGGCCCCAGGGUACUGAUAAUGUUCUUAGUGUUUAGCUUAUAAAAAUUCACCAAUAUAUACAUUUAUGAUAUAUGCACUUAUAUUUAUGUAUAUUAUACUUUAAGAGGUUUUAUAAAACAACUUUGUAUCUGUUUGUUUCUGAUUACUUCAAUUUACGGAGACAAGUUUGCAAUCUGAUGCCGUUGUCUGAUGUGCUGGUUACCCACCGUUUGCCCAGAGAGAGCUUCCUAUACAUGAAAAGAGACCACUCUGAAUUGUUUAAAGUCUAAAUUGUGACAAUUGUGAAGAACACAGGGCUGCCUGCCAUAGACUGUCAGAAAUCCACUAAUGGCUGUGCUGAGUCCAUGGGCAGCUGUGGUUUGGGGCACAAAUUAACAAACACACAUUACACAGUCCGCUGAUCCAGAAAAUGUGCUGGACUGGUUUCCCACCUCUCAUAUCUCUUCUCCAUCCUCUGUAGGACCCAGAGGCCCCCCACCUAUAGGCUCAUCCCUGCUCUGGGUUCUGGGACCAAUCUUGUCCUUAGGGGGAAAUUUAAAGAGACAGAUUUGGGUAACUGAGGUGACCCGGGCUCAAGUCGGUUUAGCUCAGAUACUUGGAAUGGUAGGCCUGGAAAGGAACCUUGUGAAGAUUGCUCUUUCUAGGAUUUAUUCCUGUGUCACUGGUUUUGCAUUUUGUUUGAGAAAGAGAUACAGAGGAAGGUGAUGGGGGAAGGGCAUCAUAAUGCUGUGGAAAGACCAUGGCUUUGAAAUCAGACUGCUGGGCCCACAUACUAAUGCCGUGGUUUAAUCAGCCACGUGGCCUGGUUAUAUUCCUCCCUGAGCCUCUGUUUCCUCAUCUCUAUGGUAGGGAUAAAAGAACCAAAUUUAAAGUUGUGAACCUCAAAAACCACCUUGCUGGUCUAAGUCACUAUCAUCUCUUGUCUGUUAUUGCAAUAAUCUGCUAACAGUCCUCUCUGCUUCCUGCUUGCUCCACUGCCAUCUGUGGUCAACAUCAUAUCCAGAACAAUCCUGUUUAAAAAUGUAACUUGGAUGAUUCUUCCUUUUGCUUAAAACCUGAUCAUGCCUUUCAAUUUCUUACAGGACUCUCCAGAACUCUAAGAUGUCAGAACAAACUUUGGGACAUAGCUGGUCUUGUAGCAAAGGAUACAAAGAAUAGAUGAACUACACCUGGCUCUUCGAGUGUCUGAUAGAAGAAACACACCUUACCCACAGCCAUGUUACAUUGGCCAAAACAGGUCACGUGGCCACACUUGGGGCCAGUGAAGUAGAGAAGGAUAAUAUUUCUACAGAAAAGGGAUACCACAGGGAGGAGCAGCCAACAUUUUGAACAGAAAUAUAAUCUGCUAUAUAGGACAUUUCAUAAAGUAGGUCAAAUAUUUUUGGAAAAAAAAAAGAGGGGAGUCUAUGUAUGGUCAGUUAAGUUUAGGAACUCCUACAUAAUACCCAUCUCUAGAGCUAUGCAAUGUAAACCAGCACACCGAAGGCUCUCAGAAGUCCUGCAAUAGAAAAAUAAAAUCAAGAUUGUUUAA
This 2249-nucleotide long non-coding RNA is filed under the name Homo sapiens (human). RNAcentral's name for it is "HSALNT0326147". The record is from RNAcentral. Lineage: Eukaryota; Metazoa; Chordata; Mammalia; Primates; Hominidae.